Molecule: ribosomal RNA, 527 nt
Filed under: uncultured bacterium
Lineage: Bacteria
Description: bacterial SSU rRNA
Rfam family: Bacterial small subunit ribosomal RNA
Source: RNAcentral
CAAGCGAAAGCAUUAAGUGAACCACGUGGGGAGUACGAUCGCAAGGUUGAAACUCAAAGGAAUUGACGGGGGCCCGCACAAGCGGAGGAACAUGUGGUUUAAUUGGAUGAUACGGGAGGAACCUUACCUGGGCUUAAAUGUAGAGUGACAGAUUGUGAAAGCAGUCCUUCUUCGGACACUNUACAAGGUGCUGCAUGGUUGUCGUCAGCUCGUGCCGUGAGGUGUCGGGUUAAGUCCCAUAACGAGCGCAACCCUUAUCGUUAGUUGCCAGCGGGUCAAGCCGGGGACUCUAGCGAGACUGCCACCGUAAGGUGUGAGGAAGGUGGGGAUGACGUCAAAUCAGCACGGCCCUUAUGUCCAGGGCUACACACGUGUUACAAUGGCCGAUACAAAGGGCAGCUACUUCGUGAGAAGAUGCUAAUCUCUAAAGUCGGUCUCAGUUCGGAUCGAAGUCUGCAACCCGACUUCGUGAAGCUGGAUUCGCUAGUAAUCGCAUAUCAGCCAUGAUGCGGUGAAUACGUUCCCGG